CCCUUAGAUGUUCUGGGCUGCACGCGCGCUACACUGAUGCACUCAACGAGUUUACGACCUUGCCCGAUAGGGUUGGGUAAUCUUUUUAAAAUGCAUCGUGAUGGGGAUAGAUUAUUGCAAUUAUUAAUCUUCAACGAGGAAUUCCUAGUAAGCGCGAGUCAUCAGCUCGUGCUGAUUACGUCCCUGCCCUUUGUACACACCGCCCGUCGCUCCUACCGAUUGAGUGCUCAGGUGAAUAAUUCGGACUGCAGCAAUGUUUGGAUCCCGAACGUUGCAGCGGAAAGUUUAGUGAACCUUNUNACUUAUNGGAAGGAGAANUCGUANCA
This 326-nucleotide ribosomal RNA is filed under the name uncultured eukaryote. Its description in RNAcentral is "partial 18S ribosomal RNA". It matches the Rfam family "Eukaryotic small subunit ribosomal RNA", at positions 1470 to 1796 of the family's 1831-position model. The record is from RNAcentral.